This 460-nucleotide ribosomal RNA is filed under the name uncultured bacterium. RNAcentral describes it as "partial 16S ribosomal RNA". It matches the Rfam family "Bacterial small subunit ribosomal RNA", at positions 338 to 795 of the family's 1533-position model. The record is from RNAcentral.
CCUACGGGGGGCAGCAGUGAGGAAUAUUGGUCAAUGGGCGGGAGCCUGAACCAGCCAAGUCGCGUGAAGGAAGAAGGUACUUAGUAUUGUAAACUUCUUUUAUAAAGGAAUAAAGUGAGGCACGUGUGCCUUUUUGUAUGUACUUUAUGAAUAAGGAUCGGCUAACUCCGUGCCAGCAGCCGCGGUAAUACGGAGGAUCCGAGCGUUAUCCGGAUUUAUUGGGUUUAAAGGGAGCGUAGAUGGGUUGUUAAGUCAGUUGUGAAAGUUUGCGGCUCAACCGUAAAAUUGCAAUUGAUACUGGCAGUCUUGAGUACAGUUGAGGUAGGCGGAAUUCGUGGGGUAGCGGUGAAAUGCUUAGAUAUCACGAAGAACUCCGAUUGCGAAGGCAGCUUACUAAACUGCCACUGACAUUGAUGCUCGAAAGUGUGGGUAUCAAACAGGAUUAGAUACCCGAGUAGUC